This 336-nucleotide long non-coding RNA is filed under the name Homo sapiens (human). RNAcentral's name for it is "non-protein coding lnc-HNRNPA3-3:2". The record is from RNAcentral. Lineage: Eukaryota; Metazoa; Chordata; Mammalia; Primates; Hominidae.
CCCAGUCAAGGGACAAUUAAUUACCGUGAUGUGGAGUGCCGAAGAGCGAUAAAAGAAAGAGAGAAGACAGAAACAUGGACCUAAGAGCUGUUUGGACACAGAAGGAAGAACCCUGAUGAUCCAGCAUUCUUUGUCUUUUCAUUUCCAAAAGGGGAUUAUCUGGUCAGUGAAAUCUUUAUAAAGCAUUUACAAUAGUGCAGAAUUUUGUGUGGCAGUUUAAGUAAGUGUGCACCCUAUGAGGAAGUCAAGGAAGGUCUUGAUGUGACGCAGGCAGAAACUCCCUAAAAGAUUCAGCGCAUGGACUCAGGAGAGGGCAGCCAGAGAUGGCCGUGAGAA